GAGACUAAUUUUUGUGUAGAUACCCAUAAAGAGUAACCUUAGUUAAUGAUGGGCUAACUAAGAUUACAUGCAUGAGACUCUUGGGUUGCAUGGUUAGGUUACAUGUGACCUUUGAUGUUACAUGCUUAUCAAUAGGGGGGUUAUGGUUUCCAUUUGAUGCAAGAACAUUUUCUCUUCUUUCUCCCAUUGCAAGAGAGAGCAAAACCUUUGUCUUGCACAUCAAGUGGAAAAUCCAACCCCGGACGAACUCCAAGCCGGAUCAAGGAGCUUCCACCUAUGGAUUCAGGUACGCUUCUGCUUAUGUUAUAGUUCCAAAUAAUUCGAUAUGAAGGCUACAGUUUUAUAGUCGGAUUUAUUCCAACAAAGAGCUCAUACAUGCCAUCCUUUGGACCCUUUAUCUGCUGCUGAAAUCUCUGUGGCUGUGGCGACCGUCAGAGCUGCCGGUAAAACACCCGAGGUUCUUAAUCACUAUCUUUUUUGUCAUCCAUUUUUGCGUUGAACAAUUGAACAAGUAUUAGUGGAACAACAGG
This 530-nucleotide long non-coding RNA is filed under the name Nicotiana benthamiana. RNAcentral describes it as "long non-coding RNA (NBEN_LNC040747)". The record is from RNAcentral. Lineage: Eukaryota; Viridiplantae; Streptophyta; Magnoliopsida; Solanales; Solanaceae.